Molecule: ribosomal RNA, 866 nt
Filed under: Alexandrium margalefii
Lineage: Eukaryota; Dinophyceae; Gonyaulacales; Pyrocystaceae
Description: LSU rRNA
Rfam family: Eukaryotic large subunit ribosomal RNA
Source: RNAcentral
AAAAAGGAUAUGCUCAGCUUGAAAAUUGAAGCUUCUGGUUUUGAAUUGUAGUUUUGAAAUGUAUUGCCGAUGGAGGUGCAGGUGUAAGCCUGUUGGAAAACAGUGUCAGUGAGGGUGAGGUGCCUUUUUGUCAUUUGCAGUCCUCCAAAGCACGGUAUAUAUUUGACGAGUCACACUCCUUUGGCAUUGGAAUGCAAAGUGGGUGGUAAAUUCCAUGAAAAGGGAAAUACAUUUUUGAGACUGAUAGCAAACAAGUACCAUGAGGGAAAUAUGAAAAGGACUUUGAAAAGAGAAUUAAAAGAGUCUGCAUUUGCUGAACAGAAAGCAAACAGAAUGAAUUCUGCUUGGUUAGAUUAUUGUGCCGUCUGCUUUGUUUAUUUGUGUUGCAUCAGGGUGCAAUGGUUCUUUCCUUGAAUGCCAGCUUUAUUUCUGCAAAUCGUAAUCUUUGUGCAUGAAUGGAAAUACGUCUGCGGGUAUUGGAUUGCAUGUGUUUGUGGGUGAUUUUGUGAUUUACCUAUAUGUGUGUCUUGUGUUGGUGGCUUGUGAGCUUAAGGGGUUGUUUUCAUUCUUGAGCAUGGGAAACCUUGAUUGCAUAUUUGCUGGCAACAUGUUUCUGCUUGACCCGUCUUGAAACACGGACCAAGGAGUCUAACAGAUGUGCAAAUUUGUGGGUGCGCAAACCUGUUUGUGAAAUGAAAGUAUUGGCUGGGAUACUUGCACCAGCAGCCGACCAAUUGGCAGACAGAGGUUUGAGCUUGAGCAUAUCUAUUAGGACCCGAAAGAUGGUGAACUAUGCCUGAACAGAAUGAAUUCAGAGGAAACUCUGAUGGAGGUUCGUAUCGUUACUGACGUGCAAAUCGUUCGUC